CCUACGGGUGGCAGCAGUGAGGAAUAUUGGUCAAUGGGCGUAAGCCUGAACCAGCCAAGUCGCGUGAGGGAUGAAGGUUCUAUGGAUCGUAAACCUCUUUUAUAAGGGAAUAAAGUGCGGGACGUGUCCCGUUUUGUAUGUACCUUAUGAAUAAGGAUCGGCUAACUCCGUGCCAGCAGCCGCGGUAAUACGGAGGAUCCGAGCGUUAUCCGGAUUUAUUGGGUUUAAAGGGUGCGUAGGCGGCCUUUUAAGUCAGCGGUGAAAGUCUGUGGCUCAACCAUAGAAUUGCGGUUGAAACUGGGAGACUGGAGUAUGUUGGAGGCAGGCGGAAUGCGUGGUGUAGCGGUGAAAGGCUUAGAUAGCACGCAGAACACCGAUGGCGAAGGCAGCCGGACAAGCCAUGACUGACGCUGAUGCACGAAAGCGUGGGGAGCAAACAGGAGUAGAUACCCCUGUAGUC
Molecule: ribosomal RNA, 460 nt
Filed under: uncultured bacterium
Lineage: Bacteria
Description: partial 16S ribosomal RNA
Rfam family: Bacterial small subunit ribosomal RNA
Source: RNAcentral